GACGUAGGGCGCGAGCGUUGUCCGGAUUUAUUGGGCGUAAAGAGCUCGUAGGCGGCUUGUUGCGUCGACUGUGAAAACCUGCGGCUCAACCGUGUGGUCUGCAGUCGAUACGGGCAGGCUAGAGUUCGGUAGGGGAGAUCGGAAUUCCUGGUGUAGCGGUGAAAUGCGCAGAUAUCUGGAGGAACACCGGUGGCGAAGGCGGCAUUCUGGACCGACAUUGACGCUGAGGAGCGAAAGCCAGGGGAGCAAACGGG
RNAcentral lists this ribosomal RNA (254 nucleotides) under uncultured bacterium. RNAcentral's name for it is "partial 16S ribosomal RNA". It matches the Rfam family "Bacterial small subunit ribosomal RNA", at positions 524 to 776 of the family's 1533-position model. The record is from RNAcentral.